RNAcentral lists this long non-coding RNA (596 nucleotides) under Ananas comosus (pineapple). Its description in RNAcentral is "long non-coding RNA (ACOM_LNC012443)". The record is from RNAcentral. Lineage: Eukaryota; Viridiplantae; Streptophyta; Magnoliopsida; Poales; Bromeliaceae.
CUUUGGCCAUCCAAAGUAGAGAUGUCAACGGAUCGGAUUCGAGGCGGAUUUUUAAUAACCCGAACCCACGGAUCGGAUUCGGGGCGGAUUUUUAAAAAUUCGAACCCGAACCCGAACCCGAAUCCGAACCCGAACCCGACUCCAAACCCGAGACCCGAACCCGAACCCGAACUCGACGGAUUUUAAAAAUCCAUAUCCAAACCCGAACCCGACCAAAAAUUCGAAACCCGAACCCGAAUCCGAACCCGAAAAUUUGAACCCGAAACAAUUAUUUCUUUUUUCAAUAUUUCAAAAUAUAUUAUAUUAAAUUUAAAUUUUUAAAAUACAAAUUCAAAUAUAAUAUUAAAUUUUUAUAUAUAUAUAUUAUAUAUAAUACAAAAUAAAUUCGGGUUCGGGUCGGAUUCGGGUAGGGUUCGGGUUUGGAUCGGGUACAAUCAAAAUUCAUAUCCGAAUCCAUAUCCGUCGGGUUUUUAUUUUUUAUAUCUAUAUCCAAAUCCAUAUUCUUAUCCAUCGAAUAUAUCCGUUUUAUUCGGGUUCGAGUUCGGAUAAAAUUUUGGGUAUCCAUACCCAUUGACAUCCCUAAUCCAAAGGCCAAA